This 522-nucleotide ribosomal RNA is filed under the name Bacillus cereus. RNAcentral's name for it is "partial 16S ribosomal RNA". It matches the Rfam family "Bacterial small subunit ribosomal RNA", at positions 565 to 1086 of the family's 1533-position model. Lineage: Bacteria; Bacillati; Bacillota; Bacilli; Caryophanales; Bacillaceae. The record is from RNAcentral.
GCGCGCGCAGGUGGUUUCUUAAGUCUGAUGUGAAAGCCCACGGCCCUAUAGGGGAGGGUCAUUGGAAACUGGGAGACUUGAGUGCACAUGAAGAGAGUGGAAUUCCAUGUGUAGCGGUGAAAUGCGUAGAGAUAUGGAGGAACACCAGUGGCGAAGGCGACUUUCUGAAAGGGAACUGACACUGAGGCGCGAAAGCGUGGGGAGCAAACAGGAUUAGAUACCCUGGUAGUCCACGCCGUAAACGAUGAGUGCUAAGUGUUAGAGGGUUUCCGCCCUUUAGUGCUGAAGUUAACGCAUUAAGCACUCCGCCUGGGGAGUUCUGUCGCAAGGCUGAAACUCAAAGGAAUUGACGGGGGCCCGCACAAGCGGUGGAGCAUGUGGUUUAAUUCGAAGCUUUUUUUUUUUUCUUACCAGGUCUUGACCUCCUUUGGGGGGGGGGAGAUAGGCCUCCUCCUUCGGGAGCAGAGUGACAGGUGGUGCAUGGUUGUCGUCAGCUCGUGUCGUGAGAUGUUGGGUUAAGUC